AUGAAUUUAAAAUGUACACAGGAACUUUCUGAUAAACCCAGGAGAUGGCAGGAAUUGAAGAAUAAAAGGAAGGAUGAAAGCAAUGGUAAGGGGGCAUUGACUAGAUCUUUGUGGAAAUGCCAUGUUGUUCAGCUGGCAUCAGCUUCCUGGGUAGCUCAAAUAGCUCUGCAGUCUCAAGAUUGAUGGCUUCCUUGUGUUCCUUUCACUUAGAAUAACAGUGAGUCAUUGGGCUCAGCUCCAGCUUUAAGCAGAACUUUGGAAAGAACAUUUCUUGUAGGGUUUAGUCGUUUUGCCAAUGAAUCACAUGGAACUCUCUUAUGGUUAGAGGGCCCCCAAUUAGGAAGGAUAUUGGACCAGUUGGAUAAAGGAGUUUGAGGAAUCAGAGACAUUCCUCAUAAGUGAGGCUAUAGACUUGUAGAAACGUAUUCAAUCUGUGCACAAUCUAGGUGAUACAUUUUUUAAAAUUAUUUCUAAUCCUGGGGCUGUAGGAAAUCGUAACUGGAGGGCUAAGGGAGUUACAUUGGCAUUGCACUGCUCAUCUCCCUGUAAAAUCCUCCCCUGAAAAAGCAAAUUGGACUUUUGGGUUCAUCCCGCUUCUUGACAGACUAAGUGAGCCAUAUUGAAAAUGGCAUUUUGUUUUUAAAAAAGAUAUUAGUUAUUAUGCAAAAGGGCAAAACUCCUGGUGGAAAAAUAAGCAUUGAUGAUCUUGAGGAGAUUUCUUCUGAGGCCGUUCUAUCACCUUCAGAUGUUGGCCAUUCCUUGGAGGUGGUCUUGACAAGAGACUAGACCACGUUCCUUUCCCUUGUAUGUUAACCAAAACAUCAUGAUAGAUGUGAUAAUCUUCUAAUCUUUUUGGAGUUCUGAUGAACGCCUUUCCCCAAAUAAGUCUGAGCUCCAUUUGUCAGGUGACCAGGAGAACUGCCCAGACAUGUGUUAACUGGAAAUGAAGCUUUGGCUAGUGGUUUUUUCAUUAGCCAAAGUUGAAAUUCAAAAGGGGUUUGUUGUCACAGAUGGCAUGGGGAAACCUGGAGCACGUUAUGUCAAGUGAAAUAAAACCCAGUCACAGAAGGACAAAUACUAUGUGAUUCCACUUACAUGAGGUAUCUAAAAUAGUCACACACAUUGAAGUUGCCAGGGAUUGGGGGUGGUGAAAAUAGGGAGUUGGUCAAUAGGUAUAAAGUUUCAGUUGUUCUAGAUGAAUACGUUCAAAGUAUCUGCUGUGCAAAAUAGUGCCUAUAGUUAACAUCAUGGUAUUGUGUACUUCAAAGAGUGUGUUAAGAGGGUAGAUCUCAUGUUAAGUGUUCUUACCACAAAGUAAAAGAAAAACAAAUACAAAUGAACAGAAACUUUUGGAGGUGUCAGAUACGUCUAUUACCUUGAUUGCAGUGAUGACAUCAUAGGAAUUGCCAUAAGUCCAAACUCAUCAAAUUAUACACAUUAAAUACAUGAAGUUCUUUGUGCAUUAUUUAUACCCCAAUAAGCUGUUAAAUAUUUUUUAAAGGAUAUUGGUUAAAUGAAUAAAUGAAUUAAUGAAUUCGGUAGCCAUUGAUUAUAAUGAGUCAGAUUUUGUGGCAGGUCCCUGGAAUAUAGAAUUAAAGAAGACAGUCACCAACAUCAAGGGAAAGUGAUUGAGACACACAUAAAAAUGCAUAAUUGCAGUACAGAGUGAUCGGUGUUAAAAUAGAAGCUGACUGUAGAGCACUGAAGAGUAAAAGUAAUAGCCCAGUGAAUCAGGAAAUAAUGAAUCAGGAAGGAAACUUUGAGCUGGCAUUUGGUCUUUUAAUUAAGGCAACACUAAUUUCACCAUAUCAUUACUUUCAAAUUAUUUCUAUGUUAUGUCUGUCAGUUGCUUUUGUAGGCUAACAUAUUGGCUAGGAGUUAAGCCAUGGCGUUAAAAUGCAUUCUGAUGUGAUUGUAUUCAUUUACCAGUUGAAGAAACAUUGUUGAUACCAUAGUUUAUUUUCUGUGACUUUCCAAAUUUUUUAAACUUUGAAAAUCACCCAAACUAUAUCAGGAAAUCUAUAGUAUGCCUAUAAACUUAGAAUAUCUAACAAAAGACAUCAAUUGUUUUAAUAUAAUCAUCCUUUCCCUUUUCUGGUAGCUUCUAUUUUCCUGAACCAUCAUGCACUUCAGGUUUUAAAAUACAUUUCCAUAGAGUUGAGACAGAUUAUUUUGAUUUCCUUGCUAUGAUUCAUUCUCAUUACCAAUUAUAAUUUUGUGAUUUUGUGC
Molecule: long non-coding RNA, 2229 nt
Filed under: Macaca mulatta (Rhesus monkey)
Lineage: Eukaryota; Metazoa; Chordata; Mammalia; Primates; Cercopithecidae
Description: lncRNA (ENSMMUG00000049275.1)
Source: RNAcentral